CCUUGCUCUGGAGGACUGCUGAGGACUCGAGGAGAACUCGGAGGACUUAACGCACAGCCUGGGGAGUCAGUUGGACAGAGACGGUGUGGCCACGGACGAGUCUGCACACUCACCUGUGAGGACGACAGACAGGAGAGCACAUUCUGUGUCCCAUCUUCAGAAAUCUUUUUCCACGUGAAAGUGAACGACGGACUGAUCCUGCUCCCUGGACCUGCUCUGCCCUCCCGUUUCCGACCCUGCUUUUCCCCACCGCCAGAUGAAGGGCAGAUGAA
Periophthalmus magnuspinnatus is the source of this 272-nucleotide long non-coding RNA. RefSeq lists it as uncharacterized. The record is from RefSeq and is a predicted model, not a curated record. The transcript is spliced from 3 exons. Lineage: Eukaryota; Metazoa; Chordata; Actinopteri; Gobiiformes; Gobiidae.